GUGCACCUACGGGAGGCAGCAGUGGGGGAUAUUGGACAAUGGGGGAAACCCUGAUCCAGCGAUGCCGCGUGAGGGAAGACGGCUCUAUGGGUUGUAAUCCUCUUUUGUCGGAGAACAAAACCCGGGACGUGUCCCGGACUGCGUGUAUCCGAAGAAAAAGCAUCGGCUAACUCCGUGCCAGCAGCCGCGGUAAUACGGAGGAUGCGAGCGUUAUCCGGAUUUAUUGGGUUUAAAGGGUGCGUAGGCGGUCCGUUAAGUCAGCGGUAAAAUUGCGGGG
Molecule: ribosomal RNA, 277 nt
Filed under: uncultured bacterium
Lineage: Bacteria
Description: partial 16S ribosomal RNA
Rfam family: Bacterial small subunit ribosomal RNA
Source: RNAcentral